Long non-coding RNA from Gorilla gorilla gorilla (western lowland gorilla), 252 nucleotides. RefSeq lists it as uncharacterized. The record is from RefSeq and is a predicted model, not a curated record. The transcript has 3 exons. NCBI's taxonomy places the organism in Eukaryota, Metazoa, Chordata, Mammalia, Primates, Hominidae.
CAGCUUGUUGCCACCAGCUUCCAAAAUAAAAUAUUUUGAAAUUACAGAUUGAAACAAUGCUUUCACGUAGAAGCCUCUUUAGUUGAGGCAUAAUGAGGAACUUUAAACAUUUAACCUCUGGGAGAAAAAAGAGUAUAAACGUAUAAACAGAAGUAUAGAAGUGUCUUUCGCCUCCUGCCAUGAUUCUGAGGCCUCCCCAGCUGUGUGGAACUGCUACUAGGAUGUUGCUGUUGUGUGAGAAUAUGAAGGGGG